Molecule: ribosomal RNA, 308 nt
Filed under: uncultured bacterium
Lineage: Bacteria
Description: bacterial SSU rRNA
Rfam family: Bacterial small subunit ribosomal RNA
Source: RNAcentral
AAACGACUGCUAAUACCGCAUAAGCCCACGAUCCGGCAUCGGAUUGAGGGAAAAGGAUUUAUUCGCUUCAGGAUGGACUCGCGUCCAAUUAGCUAGUUGGUGAGGUAACGGCCCACCAAGGCGACGAUUGGUAGCCGGACUGAGAGGUUGAACGGCCACAUUGGGACUGAGACACGGCCCAGACUCCUACGGGAGGCAGCAGUGGGGGAUAUUGCACAAUGGGGGAAACCCUGAUGCAGCGACGCCGCGUGGAGGAAGAAGGUUUUCGGAUUGUAAACUCCUGUCGUUAGGGACGAUAAUGACGGUAC